UACGAAGGGGGCUAGCGUUGUUCGGAAUUAUUGGGCGUAAAGCGCUGGUAGGUGGCUUGUUAAGUCGCGUGUGAAAGCUCCAGGCUCAACCUGGAAAGUGCGCGCGAAACUGGCGAGCUUGAGUGCCGGAGAGGGUCGCGGAAUUCCCAGUGUAGAGGUGAAAUUCGUAGAUAUUGGGAGGAACACCAGAGGCGAAGGCGGCGACCUGGAAGGUAACUGACACUGAGCAGCGAAAGCGUGGGGAGCAAACAGG
Molecule: ribosomal RNA, 253 nt
Filed under: uncultured bacterium
Lineage: Bacteria
Description: partial 16S ribosomal RNA
Rfam family: Bacterial small subunit ribosomal RNA
Source: RNAcentral